CCGAGUGAUUCCCGAUAAGGGACUCUUUUGCUUCCCCUAAAAGCGCUUGUGAAUAAGGGGUGGGCAAGUCUGGUGCCAGCAGCCGCGGUAAUA
RNAcentral lists this ribosomal RNA (93 nucleotides) under uncultured archaeon. RNAcentral describes it as "partial 16S ribosomal RNA". The record is from RNAcentral.